AUUAAAUUAGUGGCCGGACGGGUGAGUAACGCGUAGGAAUCUAUCCGUGGGUGGGGGAUAACUCUGGGAAACUGGAGCUAAUACCGCAUGACACCUGAGGGUCAAAGGCGCAAGUCGCCUGCGGAGGAGCCUGCGUUUGAUUAGCUUGUUGGUGGGGUAAUGGCCUACCAAGGCGAUGAUCAAUAGCUGGUCUGAGAGGAUGAUCAGCCACACUGGGACUGAGACACGGCCCAGACUCCUACGGGAGGCAGCAGUGGGGAAUAUUGGACAAUGGGGGCAACCCUGAUCCAGCAAUGCCGCGUGUGUGAAGAAGGUUUUCGGAUUGUAAAGCACUUUCGGCGGGGACGAUGAUGACGGUACCCGCAGAAGAAGCCCCGGCUAACUUCGUGCCAGCAGCCGCGGUAAUACAAAGGGGGCUAGCGUUGCUCGGAAUGACUGGGCGUAAAGGGCGUGUAGGCGGUUUGUACAGUCAUAUGUGAAAUCCCCGGGCUUAAACCUGGGAGCUGCAUUUGAGACGUGCACACUGGAGUGUGAGAGAGGGUUGUGGAAUUCCCAGUGUACACGUGAAAUUCUUAGAUAUUGGGGAAGAAACAC
Molecule: ribosomal RNA, 594 nt
Filed under: Acetobacter sp.
Lineage: Bacteria; Pseudomonadati; Pseudomonadota; Alphaproteobacteria; Acetobacterales; Acetobacteraceae
Description: bacterial SSU rRNA
Rfam family: Bacterial small subunit ribosomal RNA
Source: RNAcentral